AGCAGCCGCGGUAAUUCCAGCUCCAAUAGCGUAUAUUAAAGUUGUUGCAGUUAAAAAGCUCGUAGUUGAAUUUCGGGAUCAAUAUGUUGGUCGUGCCUUGGUACGUACUGGCAUUAUUGGUUUCUACCUUCUGAAGAACCUCGAUGUCAUUAAUUUGGUGUCUUGGGGAAUCAGGACUGUUACUUUGAAAAAUUAGAGUGUUUAAAGCAGGCUCGCGCUUGAAUACAUUAGCAUGGAAUAAUGAAAUAGGACGUUUGAUUCUAUUUUGUUGGUUUCUAGGAUUGACGUAAUGAUUAAUAGGGAUAGUU
This 308-nucleotide ribosomal RNA is filed under the name uncultured Glomus. RNAcentral describes it as "SSU rRNA". It matches the Rfam family "Eukaryotic small subunit ribosomal RNA", at positions 569 to 883 of the family's 1831-position model. Lineage: Eukaryota; Fungi; Glomeromycota; Glomeromycetes; Glomerales; Glomeraceae. The record is from RNAcentral.